GACGAACGCUGGCGGCGUGCUUAACACAUGCAAGUCGAACGGAAAGGCCUCUUUCGGGGGGUACUCGAGUGGCGAACGGGUGAGUAACACGUGAGUAACCUGCCCUUGACUUUGGGAUAACUUCAGGAAACUGGGGCUAAUACCGGAUAGGAGCUCCUGCUGCAUGGUGGGGGUUGGAAAGUUUCGGCGGUUGGGGGUGGACUCGCGGCUUUUCAGCUUGUUGGUGGGGUAGUGGCUUACCAAGGCUUUGACGGGUAGCCGGCCUGAGAGGGUGACCGGCCACAUUGGGACUGAGAUACGGCCCAGACUCCUACGGGAGGCAGCAGUGGGGAAUAUUGCACAAUGGGUGGAAGCCUGAUGCAGCAACGCCGUGUGCGGGAUGACGGCCUUCGGGUUGUCAACCGCUUUCGCUCAUGACGAAGCUUUGUGUGACGGUAGUGGGUAAAGAAGCACCGGCUAACUACGUG
This 467-nucleotide ribosomal RNA is filed under the name uncultured bacterium. RNAcentral's name for it is "partial 16S ribosomal RNA". It matches the Rfam family "Bacterial small subunit ribosomal RNA", at positions 28 to 507 of the family's 1533-position model. The record is from RNAcentral.